Long non-coding RNA from Scomber japonicus (chub mackerel), 198 nucleotides. RefSeq lists it as uncharacterized. The transcript is spliced from 3 exons. Lineage: Eukaryota; Metazoa; Chordata; Actinopteri; Scombriformes; Scombridae. The record is from RefSeq and is a predicted model, not a curated record.
CAGAAACACACAGACGCUCACUGUUGCUUCAUCUGGAGAUAAGAAGUGUGGCUCCUUCACUCAGAGUUUUCUACCAGUAGCAGUGAGUUGGGUGAUACUGUUGGUAAUCUUGGUCCUUCAUAUCUACUUUACAUCUGUCAUCUCUGAAAACAACAACAAGCUGACUGCAGAGAACCGACAACUGGAAACCAACCUGAC